This 433-nucleotide ribosomal RNA is filed under the name uncultured bacterium. RNAcentral's name for it is "partial 16S ribosomal RNA". It matches the Rfam family "Bacterial small subunit ribosomal RNA", at positions 29 to 507 of the family's 1533-position model. The record is from RNAcentral.
AACGAACGCUGGCGGCAUGCCUAACACAUGCAAGUCGAACGAUACCUUCGGGUCUAGUGUCGCAGGUGUGCGUAACGCGUGGAAACCUGCGCUUAGGGUCGGAAUAACUCCCCGAAAGGGUGGCUAAUACCGGAUAAUGUCUGCGGACCAAAGAUUUAUCGACUUUGGAUCUGGCCGCGUUGGAUUAGCUAGUUGGUAGGGUAAAAGCCUACCAAGGCGACGAUCCAUAGCUGGUCUGAGAGGAUGAUCAGCCACACUGGGACUGAGACACGGCCCAGACUCCUACGGGAGGCAGCAGUGGGGAAUGUUGGACAAUGGGCGAAAGACUGAUCCAGCAAUGCCGCGUGAGUGAUGAAGGCCUUAGGGUUGUAGAGCUCUUUUGCCCGGGAUGAGAAUGACAGUACCGGGAGAAUAAGCUCCGGCUAACUCCGUG